AGGAGAAUAUUGUGAAGUUACUCAAGGCGAAUUACAAAAAUACCAUGCUUAUUGUAAUUGCAAAGAUGGUUUUAUUUGCGUACAUAAAAAAGAGCACCAACUCAAUCGAAACUAUGGGGUAUGUGAAAAACGAAAGCAUGGUUAGUUUGGUGGUCCGUUUGUCUUCGGAGUCACCAAAUUGUAACUGAGUCCGAAGUAUUCCUCACAGUAAACUGAAAGAAAAAUCUAAUGAAUGACUUAAAAUUAGAACUAAUAGAAAAAAUCCAUAGGAACUAGCAUUUUUUAUUAACAAAUUAAACGCUAAAUUCUUUCUAAAAAUUCGACUAUAAGAAAUUAAACACACUCGAAUAUUCGAAGAUUUUGAAAACAUUGAUUUUACAUUAAUCAAGCUAUAUUACGUUUCUCAGUUAAUUACAAAGACUGUUUAUUUAGAUAAAUUGUUAUUGAGCUCAGUAUAUUCAAUUAAUUUAUUUCAAAUUUAAUUAGUUGACAUUUUAUCCCAUUAUUUUUUUUU
Molecule: non-coding RNA, 514 nt
Organism: Parasteatoda tepidariorum (common house spider)
Lineage: Eukaryota; Metazoa; Arthropoda; Arachnida; Araneae; Theridiidae
Source: RefSeq, a predicted model, not a curated record